GUCUACGGCCAUCCCACCCUGAAUGCGCCUGAUCUCGUCUGAUCUCGGAAGCUAAGCAGGGUCGAGGCCUGGUUAGUACUUGGAUGGGAAGUAUGGUGGCACCUGCUUGUAAUCCCAGCACUCCGGCUGAGGAGGAUC
RNAcentral lists this ribosomal RNA (138 nucleotides) under Chinchilla lanigera (long-tailed chinchilla). The record is from RNAcentral. Lineage: Eukaryota; Metazoa; Chordata; Mammalia; Rodentia; Chinchillidae.